UGGGGAAUUUUGGACAAUGGGCCCAAGCCUGAUCCAGCAAUGCCGCGUGAGUGAAGAAGGCCCUCGGGUUGUAAAGCUCUUUUGUCAGGGAAGAAAAGGUGAUCUCUAAUACAGGUCACUCAUGACGGUACCUGAAGAAUAAGCACCGGCUAACUACGUGCCAGCAGCCGCGGUAAUACGUAGGGUGCAAGCGUUAAUCGGAAUUACUGGGCGUAAAGCGUGCGCAGGCGGUUAUAUAAGUCAGAUGUGAAAUCCCCGGGCUCAACCUGGGAACUGCAUUUGAGACUGUAUGGCUAGAGUGUGUCAGAGGGGGGUAGAAUUCCACGUGUAGCAGUGAAAUGCGUAGAUAUGUGGAGGAAUACCGAUGGCGAAGGCAGCCCCCUGGGAUAACACUGACGCUCAUGCACGAAAGCGUGGGGAGCAAACA
Molecule: ribosomal RNA, 427 nt
Filed under: uncultured bacterium
Lineage: Bacteria
Description: partial 16S ribosomal RNA
Rfam family: Bacterial small subunit ribosomal RNA
Source: RNAcentral